GACGAACGCUGGCGGCGUGCCUAAUACAUGCAAGUCGAGCGGAAAGACGAGGAGCUUGUUCCUCUCUCGUGAGCGGCGGACGGGUGAGUCACGCGUGGAUAAUCUACCUGUAAUACGGGGAUCACCUCGGGAAACCGGCGCUAAUACCGGAUAAGAUCUUGAACCGCAGGGUUCAAUGGUGAAAGACGGCUUUGUCGGAGGUUGGGGAUGGAUCCGCGCUUCAUUAGCUGGUUGGUGAGGUACAGGUUUACCAAGGCAAUGACGGGUAGCCGGCCUGAGAGGGUGACCGGCCACAUUGGGACUGAGAUACGGCCCAGACUCCUACGGGAGGCAGCAGUGGGGAAUAGUGCACAAUGGGCGGAAGCCUGAUGCAGCAACGCCGCGUGCGGGAUGACGGCCUUCGGGUUGUAAACCGCUUUCGCCUGUGGCGAAGCGUGAGUGACGGUAAUGGGUAAAGAAGCACCGGCUAACUACGUG
This 477-nucleotide ribosomal RNA is filed under the name uncultured bacterium. Its description in RNAcentral is "partial 16S ribosomal RNA". It matches the Rfam family "Bacterial small subunit ribosomal RNA", at positions 28 to 507 of the family's 1533-position model. The record is from RNAcentral.